This 23-nucleotide microRNA is filed under the name Scyliorhinus torazame (cloudy catshark). Its description in RNAcentral is "Sto-Mir-210-P2_5p (mature (co-guide))". The record is from RNAcentral. Lineage: Eukaryota; Metazoa; Chordata; Chondrichthyes; Carcharhiniformes; Scyliorhinidae.
UAGCCUCUGUCCAGCGCAUACUG